GACGAACGCUGGCGGCGUGCCUAAUACAUGCAAGUUGAGCGCUGAAGGUUGGUACUUGUACCAACUGGAUGAGCAGCGAACGGGUGAGUAACGCGUGGGGAAUCUGCCUUUGAGCGGGGGACAACAUUUGGAAACGAAUGCUAAUACCGCAUAAAAACUUUAAACACAAGUUUUAAGUUUGAAAGGUGCAAUUGCAUCACUCAAAGAUGAUCCCGCGUUGUAUUAGCUAGUUGGUGAGGUAAAGGCUCACCAAGGCGAUGAUACAUAGCCGACCUGAGAGGGUGAUCGGCCACAUUGGGACUGAGACACGGCCCAAACUCCUACGGGAGGCAGCAGUAGGGGAUCUUCGGCAAUGGGCGAAAGUCUGACCGAGCAACGCCGCGUGAGUGAAGAAGGUUUUCGGAUCGUAAAACUCUGUUGGUAGAGAAGAACGUUGGUGAGAGUGGAAAGCUCAUCAAGUGACGGUAACUACCCAGAAAGGGACGGCUAACUACGUG
Molecule: ribosomal RNA, 497 nt
Filed under: uncultured bacterium
Lineage: Bacteria
Description: partial 16S ribosomal RNA
Rfam family: Bacterial small subunit ribosomal RNA
Source: RNAcentral